AGACCCGAAACCCGGUGAUCUAGCCAUGGGCAGGUUGAAGGUUGGGUAACACUAACUGGAGGACCGAACCGACUAAUGUUGAAAAAUUAGCGGAUGACCUGUGGCUGGGGGUGAAAGGCCAAUCAAACCGGGAGAUAGCUGGUUCUCCCCGAAAGCUAUUUAGGUAGCGCCUCGUGAAUUCAUCUCCGGGGGUAGAGCACUGUUUCGGCUAGGGGGCCAUCCCGGCUUACCAACCCGAUGCAAACUGCGAAUACCGGAGAAUGUUAUCACGGGAGACACACGGCGGGUGCUAACGUCCGUCGUGAAGAGGGAAACAACCCAGACCGCCAGCUAAGGUCCCAAAGUCAUGGUUAAGUGGGAAACGAUGUGGGAAGGCCCAGACAGCCAGGAUGUUGGCUUAGAAGCAGCCAUCAUUUAAAGAAAGCGUAAUAGCUCACUGGUCGAGUCGGCCUGCGCGGAAGAUGUAACGGGGCUAAACCAUGCACCGAAGCUGCGGCAGCGACGCUUAUGCGUUGUUGGGUAGGGGAGCGUUCUGUAAGCCUGUGAAGGUGGCCUGUGAGGGUUGCUGGAGGUAUCAGAAGUGCGAAUGCUGACAUAAGUAACGAUAAAGCGGGUGAAAAGCCCGCUCGCC
Molecule: ribosomal RNA, 631 nt
Filed under: Salmonella enterica
Lineage: Bacteria; Pseudomonadati; Pseudomonadota; Gammaproteobacteria; Enterobacterales; Enterobacteriaceae
Also listed under: 1 other name
Description: partial 23S ribosomal RNA
Rfam family: Bacterial large subunit ribosomal RNA
Source: RNAcentral